GGGCCUAUAGCUCAGUGGUAGAGCGCUGCAUUCGCAUUGCAGAAAUAUGAGUUCGAUUCUCGUUAGGUCCACUA
This 74-nucleotide transfer RNA is filed under the name bacterium. RNAcentral's name for it is "tRNA-Ala". It matches the Rfam family "tRNA". From Rfam's summary of the family: Transfer RNA (tRNA) molecules are approximately 80 nucleotides in length. Their secondary structure includes four short double-helical elements and three loops (D, anti-codon, and T loops). The record is from RNAcentral.